GAUGAACGCUGGCGGCGUGCCUAAUACAUGCAAGUCGAGCGAACAGACGAGGAGCUUGCUCCUCUGACGUUAGCGGCGGACGGGUGAGUAACACGUGGAUAACCUACCUAUAAGACUGGGAUAACUUCGGGAAACCGGAGCUAAUACCGGAUAAUAUAUUGAACCGCAUGGUUCAAUAGUGAAAGACGGUUUUGCUGUCACUUAUAGAUGGAUCCGCGCCGCAUUAGCUAGUUGGUAAGGUAACGGCUUACCAAGGCGACGAUGCGUAGCCGACCUGAGAGGGUGAUCGGCCACACUGGAACUGAGACACGGUCCAGACUCCUACGGGAGGCAGCAGUAGGGAAUCUGCCGCAAUGGGCGAAAGCCUGACGGAGCAACGCCGCGUGAGGGAUGAAGGUCUUCGGAUCGUAAAACUCUGUUAUUAGGGAAGAACAAAUGUGUAAGUAACUAUGCACGUCUUGACGGUACCUAAUCAGAAAGCCACGGCUAACUACGUG
RNAcentral lists this ribosomal RNA (497 nucleotides) under uncultured bacterium. Its description in RNAcentral is "partial 16S ribosomal RNA". It matches the Rfam family "Bacterial small subunit ribosomal RNA", at positions 28 to 507 of the family's 1533-position model. The record is from RNAcentral.